RNAcentral lists this ribosomal RNA (471 nucleotides) under Perinereis cultrifera. RNAcentral describes it as "partial 16S ribosomal RNA". It matches the Rfam family "Bacterial large subunit ribosomal RNA", at positions 1831 to 2597 of the family's 2925-position model. RNAcentral also lists the same sequence under 1 other name. The record is from RNAcentral. Lineage: Eukaryota; Metazoa; Annelida; Polychaeta; Phyllodocida; Nereididae.
CGCCUAUUGAACAUAUAAUAGGUCCAUCCUGCCCAGUGAUUUAUAUUCAACGGCCGCGGUAUCCUGACCGUGCAAAGGUAGCAUAAUCAUUUGCCUUUUAAUUGAAGGCUAGUAUGAAAGGACACACAAGAAUAAGACUGUCUCCACAAGGUUAACUUAAAACUGACUUUCAGGUGAAGAUGCCUGAAUUACAAUAAAGGACAAGAAGACCCUAUAGAGCUUUAUUAAUAAAAGACAUAUGACUUUAUUAUUAAUUUGGUUGGGACAACCAAAAGACAUUUAAACCUCUUUUAUUCCAUAAAUAACGCUCACCCUCUAUCGAACUAGAAUUUCAAGCUACCUUAGGGAUAACAGGCUAAUCCUACUAGAGAGACCACAUUGACAGUAGGGAUUGGCACCUCGAUGUUGGCUUAGUGUUACCAUUAGGCGCAGCCGCUUAAUAGAGUUGGUUUGUUCAACCAUUAAAUCACU